Molecule: long non-coding RNA, 432 nt
Organism: Physella acuta
Lineage: Eukaryota; Metazoa; Mollusca; Gastropoda; Physidae
Source: RefSeq, a predicted model, not a curated record
GAACACUAGCCAAUCGAAAUCAUCCACGUUAGAAAACGUACAUGUAUAAAAUGUCUAUUCAAUGUACGGUCAUCAUUUAAACUACUCGUGUAUUCUGUAAGACAGACAUCAUUGUUUUUAUGUUAGAUUUACUGAGCUGAUUAAAAUGAAGAUCGCAUUUUUUCUUCUUCUGGUCUGUAUGGCAAAUCUCUUUGUUAAAACAGAAAGUUGUUGCAAGACAGCUGGACGCUGUUCGAAGAAUAUUGAAUGUUGCAUAGCAUAUUAUUGCACCGAUUAUAAAUUAAAAAGCAAAAGAUGUAUUCCAAAUGGAAAAUAAAAAGUGAAAACACAAAAUGAAUAAAAUAAACUUAUAGAAAAAAUAAACAUUUGGCAUUGACAAUGUUUUUAAAGUUAUUUUUUUGCUUUGGUUAUUUACUACAUGAACACGGAUCA